RNAcentral lists this microRNA precursor (85 nucleotides) under Paramuricea clavata. Lineage: Eukaryota; Metazoa; Cnidaria; Anthozoa; Malacalcyonacea; Plexauridae. The record is from RNAcentral.
GAUUACAUGACAAAAUUUUCAACCCAGGGCUGAGUUCAAACCCGGGGUUGAACUCAGCCCUGGGUCGAAAAUUUUGUCAUGUAAU